GGUGGUCUGUUUUUAAGGUUUUUUAGGGGGAAAAUGUCUAAUUUCCAGCUGAUAACUUGUACCAAUUUGCAUGUUUAAACAAGAGAUGUUGGAUUUUUUUUUAUUUAUUCAGAAAGUUCAUAGAAUUAUCUUUCCAUUGAUGUAUAGAUAUCUAUAUAACUAUGAAUAUCUGACUUCUGCAUGAUGGGUCCACUAUUACAUGCCCUGUUACAGAAUGACGUCACGUAAAAAACUGUUGAUUGCACCCUUAACAUU
Molecule: long non-coding RNA, 255 nt
Filed under: Mytilus galloprovincialis (Mediterranean mussel)
Lineage: Eukaryota; Metazoa; Mollusca; Bivalvia; Mytilida; Mytilidae
Source: RNAcentral